AGAAGGGGUGGAGCCACCCUGGGCUCACAUAGGGGUCAGCCAUUGAGGGGAAGCUUCCCUUGCACUUCAGCUGCUUCCCUGGGAGGAGUUCUGUACAGCCAGAAAGCCCCUUCACUAGUUGGAUGCUGAAUAUGUGUUCAGAGAGUACUCAGAAGUUGAUGUUUGCUGUGAGGACAUCUUCCUUAAGAAAAUAAUGAGUUACAACUUGCGAAAAUCAAAACAAGAGAAAAGGAACCAUGUUUCCAGUUUGAGCAUUUCAGUUCGUGUUUCUGUGUCCUGCUGAUAACUCUCUGCUUCUUUCCCAUGCUACCGAGUGACCACAUCUUCAGGGUCACGUGUAGAUGGUUUUGCAGGAGGAUUUGUACUGGCUAAAGAAUUUAGCCUAAAGCUAAAUUCUACUAAUGCUGUCCAAGAAACAGUACAUUCAUAUGAAUAGCAUUUGUGAUAGUGAAUACUCAGCAGUGGAUCUGUUACCAUUUAAUAGGGAUUGUAUCUUGUUUUAGAGAAAAAUAUUUGGAGUCUUACUGAAAAAAUUCUUGUUUCUGUUACAUAAUCAUCCUAAAACUCAGUUCUUAAAGGAUGUUUGUUGUUUUUCCUUUGCAAAGAUCAAGUCAAUAAUUUUUAACUCCUUCAGGUGAGCUCUUGCUUGAUUUGCGAUGUAUGUGUCACAUUUCAGUAAUGUCAACCUGAACUUUUCAC
Molecule: long non-coding RNA, 699 nt
Organism: Numida meleagris (helmeted guineafowl)
Lineage: Eukaryota; Metazoa; Chordata; Aves; Galliformes; Numididae
Exons: 3
Source: RefSeq, a predicted model, not a curated record